CGGACGGGUGAGUAAUGUCUGGGAAACUGCCUGAUGGAGGGGGAGUAACUACUGGAAACGGUAGCUAAUACCGCAUAACGUCGCAAGACCAAAGAGGGGGACCUUCGGGCCUCUUGCCAUCAGAUGUGCCCAGAUGGGAUUAGCUAGUAGGUGGGGUAACGGCUCACCUAGGCGACGAUCCCUGGCUGGUCUGAGAGGAUGACCAGCCACACUGGAACUGAGACACGGUCCAGACUCCUACGGGAGGCAGCAUG
Molecule: ribosomal RNA, 254 nt
Filed under: uncultured bacterium
Lineage: Bacteria
Description: partial 16S ribosomal RNA
Rfam family: Bacterial small subunit ribosomal RNA
Source: RNAcentral